RNAcentral lists this ribosomal RNA (468 nucleotides) under uncultured bacterium. Its description in RNAcentral is "partial 16S ribosomal RNA". It matches the Rfam family "Bacterial small subunit ribosomal RNA", at positions 28 to 507 of the family's 1533-position model. The record is from RNAcentral.
GACGAACGCUGGCGGCGUGCUUAACACAUGCAAGUCGAACGGAAAGGCCCUGCUUUUGUGGGGUGCUCGAGUGGCGAACGGGUGAGUAACACGUGAGUAACCUGCCCUUGACUUUGGGAUAACUUCAGGAAACUGGGGCUAAUACCGGAUAGGAGCUCCUGCUGCAUGGUGGGGGUUGGAAAGUUUCGGCGGUUGGGGAUGGACUCGCGGCUUAUCAGCUUGUUGGUGGGGUAGUGGCUUACCAAGGCUUUGACGGGUAGCCCGCCUGAGAGGGUGCCCGGCCACAUUGGGACUGAGAUACGGCCCAGACUCCUACGGGAGGCAGCAGUGGGGAAUAUUGCACAAUGGGCGGAAGCCUGAUGCAGCAACGCCGCGUGCGGGAUGACGGCCUUCGGGUUGUAAACCGCUUUCGCCUGUGACGAAGCGUGAGUGACGGUAAUGGGUAAAGAAGCACCGGCUAACUACGUG